This 333-nucleotide unclassified non-coding RNA is filed under the name Hevea brasiliensis (rubber tree). Lineage: Eukaryota; Viridiplantae; Streptophyta; Magnoliopsida; Malpighiales; Euphorbiaceae. The record is from RNAcentral.
AAAAACCAGAGAGUAGAGUAACAGAGCCGCCGUCAAAAAUGGUGCAACGGCUUACUUACCGUAAACGGCAUAGCUAUGCAACCAAGUCGAACCAACAUAGGGUUGUGAAAACCCCAGGUGGAAAGCUGAUUUACCAGACUACGAAGAAGAGGGCUAAUGGACCUAAGUGCCCUGUAACUGGAAAGAGAAUUCAAGGGAUUCCACACUUGAGACCUGCUGAGUACAAGAGAUCCAGGUUAUCUAGGAACAGGAGGACUGUGAACCGUGCUUAUGGUGGUGUGUUGUCCGGCAGUGCUGUACGUGAAAGGAUCAUCAGAGCCUUUUUGGUUGAAG